This 368-nucleotide ribosomal RNA is filed under the name uncultured microorganism. RNAcentral's name for it is "bacterial SSU rRNA". It matches the Rfam family "Bacterial small subunit ribosomal RNA", at positions 9 to 380 of the family's 1533-position model. The record is from RNAcentral.
GAGUUUGAUCCUGGCUCAGAUUGAACGCUGGCGGCAUGCCUUACACAUGCAAGUCGAACGGUAACAGGUCUUCGGAUGCUGACGAGUGGCGAACGGGUGAGUAAUACAUCGGAACGUGCCCGAUCGUGGGGGGAUAACGGAGCGAAAGCUUUGCUAAUACCGCAUACGAUCUACGGAUGAAAGCAGGGGACCGCAAGGCCUUGCGCGGACGGAGCGGCCGAUGGCAGAUUAGGUAGUUGGUGGGAUAAAAGCUUACCAAGCCGACGAUCUGUAGCUGGUCUGAGAGGACGACCAGCCACACUGGGACUGAGACACGGCCCAGACUCCUACGGGAGGCAGCAGUGGGGAAUUUUGGACAAUGGGCGAAA